CCUACGGGGGACAGCAGUCGAGAAUCAUUCACAAUGGGGGAAACCCUGAUGGUGCGACGCCGCGUGGGGGAAUGAAGGUCUUCGGAUUGUAAACCUCUGUCAUGUGGGAGCAAAUUAAAAAGAUAGUACCACAAGAGGAAGAGAUGGCUAACUCUGUGCCAGCAGCCGCGGUAAUACAGCGGUCUCAAGCGUUGUUCGGAAUCACUGGGCGUAAAGCGUGGGUAGGCUGUUUCGUAAGUCGUGUGUGAAAAGGGCGGGCUCAACCCGCGGACGGCACAUGAUACUGGGAGACUAGAGUAAUGGAGGGGGAACCGGAAUUCGCGGUGUAGCAGUGAAAUGCGUAGAUAUCGAGAAGAACACUCGUGGCGAAGGCGGGUUCCUGGACAUUAACUGACGCUGAGGCACGAAGGCCAGGGGAGCGAAAGGGAUUAGAUACCCUUGUAGUC
This 446-nucleotide ribosomal RNA is filed under the name uncultured bacterium. RNAcentral describes it as "partial 16S ribosomal RNA". It matches the Rfam family "Bacterial small subunit ribosomal RNA", at positions 338 to 795 of the family's 1533-position model. The record is from RNAcentral.